AUUGAACGCUGGCGGCAGGCCUAACACAUGCAAGUCGAGCGCGAAAGGCUUUCGGGCUGAGUAGAGCGGCGGACGGGUGAGUAACGCGUAGGAAUCUACCUGGUAGUGGGGGACAACUUGGGGAAACUCAAGCUAAUACCGCAUACGCCCCAAGGGGGAAAGCGGGGGACCUUCGGGCCUCGCGCUAUCAGAUGAGCCUGCGUAGGAUUAGCUAGUUGGUGAGGUAAAGGCUCACCAAGGCGACGAUCCUUAGCUGGUCUGAGAGGAUGAUCAGCCACACUGGGACUGAGACACGGCCCAGACUCCUACGGGAGGCAGCAGUGGGGAAUAUUGCGCAAUGGGGGCAACCCUGACGCAGCCAUGCCGCGUGUGUGAAGAA
RNAcentral lists this ribosomal RNA (379 nucleotides) under uncultured bacterium. RNAcentral describes it as "bacterial SSU rRNA". It matches the Rfam family "Bacterial small subunit ribosomal RNA", at positions 29 to 412 of the family's 1533-position model. The record is from RNAcentral.